AAUGUCCAUGAACAUUGCUUUUAAUUCCCUGUAUGUAACAUCUUCUCUCCUAGAUGUUACAUUUUGAAUUAGUGCUUCAUAUUCAUCAUCUAGUCCAGCAAGGAUCAGUAAAACAAGAUCUGAAUCCUCCAUCUUUUUUCCAGCCACAGAAAGACCUUCCAAUAAUUGAUUAAUCUCAGAAAUAUAUUCAGUAAAUGACUUACCUCCCUUCUUUAAAUUUUGUAAUUUCUGUUGGAUGUUCAGCACCUGAGAACGGGAGGGAGGAUGAGGCAAAUUCCUCUUGCAACGUUUCCCAACAUUCAGCAGCUGUUUCACAAUGUGAAACUUCUG
This 330-nucleotide long non-coding RNA is filed under the name Zostera marina. RNAcentral describes it as "long non-coding RNA (ZMAR_LNC001968)". The record is from RNAcentral. Lineage: Eukaryota; Viridiplantae; Streptophyta; Magnoliopsida; Alismatales; Zosteraceae.